AUCCGGAAACGGGUGCUAAUACCGCAUAGUUUUCUUGAUCGCAUGAUCGGGAAAGGAAAGACGGCCUUUGUGCUGUCGCUUAUGGAUGGACCCGCGGCGUAUUAGUUAGUUGGUGAGGUAACGGCUCACCAAGACGAUGAUACGUAGCCGACCUGAGAGGGUGAUCGGCCACAUUGGGACUGAGACACGGCCCAAACUCCUACGGGAGGCAGCAGUAGGGAAUCUUCCGCAAUGGACGAAAGUCUGACGGAGCAACGCCGCGUGAGUGAAGAAGGUUUUUUCCGGGAUCGUAAAACUCUGUUGUCAGAGAAGAACAAGUUGGAGAGUAACUGCUCCAGCCUUGACGGUAUCUGACCAGAAAGCCACGGCUAACUACGUGCCAGCCGCAGC
Molecule: ribosomal RNA, 390 nt
Filed under: uncultured bacterium
Lineage: Bacteria
Description: bacterial SSU rRNA
Rfam family: Bacterial small subunit ribosomal RNA
Source: RNAcentral